ACCCAGACUCCUACGGGAGGCAGCAGUGGGGAAUAUUGCACAAUGGGGGAAACCCUGAUGCAGCGACGCCGCGUGAGUGAAGAAGUAUUUCGGUAUGUAAAGCUCUAUCAGCAGGAACGAGACAAGACGGUACCUGACUAAGAAGCCCCGGCUAACUACGUGCCAGCAGCCGCGGUAAUACGUAGGGGGCAAGCGUUAUCCGGAUUUAUUGGGUUUAAAGGGUGCGUAGGCGGAAUAUCAAGUCAGCGGUAAAAAUUCGGGGCUCAACCCCGUCGUGCCGUUGAAACUGUGUCCCUUGAGUGCGCGAAGGGUAGGCGGAAUGCGUGGUGUAGCGGUGAAAUGCAUAGAUAUCACGCAGAACUCCGAUCGCGAAGGCAGCCUACCGGCGCGCAACUGACGCUCAUGCACGAAAGCGUGGGUAUCGAACAGGAUUAGAUACCCGUGUAAC
RNAcentral lists this ribosomal RNA (448 nucleotides) under uncultured bacterium. Its description in RNAcentral is "bacterial SSU rRNA". It matches the Rfam family "Bacterial small subunit ribosomal RNA", at positions 329 to 795 of the family's 1533-position model. The record is from RNAcentral.